RNAcentral lists this long non-coding RNA (1301 nucleotides) under Homo sapiens (human). RNAcentral's name for it is "HSALNT0365721". The record is from RNAcentral. Lineage: Eukaryota; Metazoa; Chordata; Mammalia; Primates; Hominidae.
CUCUUUAAACAAAUGAUCCUCAGCUUGGUUGCCCCAGAAAAACACCAGCAUCUGAUGGCUUCUCCAUCAAGACUUCAAUCUCAAAGGGCAAUACUGUGCGGCAAAAGAAGAGCUGGCUCCUGGAGGACUUCUGGGGCCCCAGGCAUGGAUCAAUGUUUGCAUCAGAAAAGAAAGCCUGUCAGCAAUGGAGGUGCUGGAGGAUUUCUGGAAGGGGGGGGCCUCAUUCAAGACCACCAAGGGACUGCUGACUGUUCUCGUUCAUGACGCCUCUCUUCAAGGAAAUUGACCCUCCCAGAGUGCAAGACGGAGAAAAAGGUUCUUAAGAACUUCCCCUGGAAAUCACCACUGAAUGGAUGCCAGGCAAUUCUAGAAUCUCCACUCUUUGGUUUUUUGGGCCCUUGGAUGGAUGAGAAGUGAUGUGCAGAUCUGAUGGGAAAAAUGGCAGAGACCACAGCUUCUCUCCUAAACCCUCAUUCAUUGCCCAUCGGACAAUUCUCCUGUUUCCGAUCCUGUAAGGUCACAAGGAUUUCUCAUUUCAGGUAGACCAGAAAAGAAGCCACUGAUGGAAUGCUGCAAGAAGGGGUUUACCAUGCGGUGUGAUUUCUGGGACCCCUUCUUCCCUGUUGAAAAUAUUUCACAGGCCCCCAGGACCUCCCCCAAAAGACAAGGGCAGAAACCAAAGAAAAUGCACUGUUCCAAUUUUGUCCAGGCUGCCUGUGGAAUGAGAAACCCAUGAGAAAGUUAUUGAGACUUCAGUUUUCUAUUCCUCUCCUUAUCCGGCCUCAUUACCUCCCCAACCCCUGAGAGAAAAAAUAAAUAAUUCACAAACAAAGGACGAGGGUGUGGUGGAUUGAGAGCAGGUUUGCUUGGUGACAGGAGGACUCUGUAGAGGGGGUCUGUUGGGAGGUGAGCAGGAGGGAGUGGCUGCUCCAGAGCCCACAGUUCUGUCCAGAAAGGUGGAAGUAACACAGGCAUCAUGAAGGCUUCUGGAGGCAGGGGCUGAGCCCUCUCACCGCAAGGACCACAGAAGCCAGGGCUGGACUCCUGGCCCGGGAAGCUCCAGUCCCAUGGACUCUAUCCCACUCCUUUGUCUCUUUCUCCCUCCUGUGCCUGCCCCGCCUGCCCCUUGCUCUGUCUUCAUCCUGGGAAGCCAGCUGCAGCAUGUAGGAGAGAAGGGCUCUGUCACGGCUGUCUCUAGUGUGUUAUUGUUAGUGUUACAUUACAAAUCCCGUUUCCAUGCCAGGGUCCCUCGGGGGUCAUAACCAGGAGAGGCCAUGACCCUGUCAAUAAACAGAACCCCA